AGCCCAAGCCCCAGCCCUCCUCCCUUAGACUCAGGGGUCCAGACCCCAGCCAACCUCCCCUAGACCCAGGGGGUCCAGUCCCCAGCCCUCCUCCCUCAGACUCUGCAGUCGGGCCCCUUUAGGGCAGCUGCCACCUGCAGUCCCCUUCCUUUCUACAGAACCCGCCCUCUGCUCCCUCCUGGUUCCGCCCCUACCUGGAGCCUUUCCUCGCCUCACCCCUCCAUCUCAGGCUAUCCGAGAGACCCACGGCUGCGAUGGCAUCCCCGCGAGGAUGGCAGUGGGGAGAGCCACGAGCGUUCGGCCGGGCAGUGAAGCUGCUACAGCGCUUGGAAGAGCAAUGCAAGGACCCCAGACUGGUUAUGGGGCCCCCGUCGCUGCGGGUCCUUCUGCCCCGCACCGCUCAACUACUUCGAGAAGUGGCAAAAGCCCGGCGCGAGGCUGAGGGAGACCCCGAGGGUCCCGGUGGCGCUGGGGAUUAUCUGGUCAUCUACCUGGCCAAUCUGGAGGCCAAAGGCAGGAAAGUGGCCGAGCUGCUGCCACCCCGAGGCAAAAAGGAUGCGAACGAGGAGGUUUUCCGGGAGGGCUCCAGAUUCAGGCGACAGCUGGCCAAGCUGGCCCUCAUCUUCAGUCACAUGCACGCGGAGAUGAGUGCACUCUUCCCUGGGGGGAGGUACUGCGGACACCUGUACCAGCUCACUGAGGGCUCUGCCCACACCUUCUGGAGGGAGCACUGUGGAAUCCGGUGUGUGCUUCCCUGGGCGGAGUUCCAGUCCCUGCUGUGUGCUUGCCACCCUGUGGAACCAGGCCCCAUCACCCAGGCCUUGCGUUCCACCUUGGACCUCACCUGUAGUGGCCACGUGUCUGUCUUUGAGUUUGACAUCUUCACCAGGCUCUUCCAGCCGUGGCCGACCCUACUCAAGAACUGGCUGCUCCUGGCUGUCAACCACCCCGGCUACAUGGCCUUCUUGACCUAUGAUGAAGUCCAGACGCGCCUGCAGGCCUGCAGGGACAAACCAGGCAGCUACAUCUUCAGGCCCAGCUGUACUCGCCUGGGGCAGUGGGCUAUUGGGUACGUGAGUCCCGAGGGAAGCAUCCUACAGACCAUUCCUCCCAACAAACCCCUGUUCCAGGUGCUCCUGAAAGGACAAAAGGACGGCAUCCUCCUCUACCCUGAUGGAAAGAACCACAACCCAGAUCUGACCGAGCUGUACCAGGCAAAACUCCACCAGCGCAUUGAGGUAUCAGAGGAGCAACUGCAGCUCUAUGAAGCCAUGAACUCCACAUUUGAGCUGUGCAAGAUCUGUGCUGAGAGGGACAAGGACGUGAGGAUCGAGCCUUGUGGGCACCUUCUCUGCAGCCACUGCCUGGCUACCUGGCAGCAGUCGGAUAGCCAGACCUGUCCCUUCUGCCGGUGUCAGAUCAAAGGCCACGAGGCUGUGAGUAUCUGUCAGGCACAAGAGAGGUCCGUGGAGUUCAGAGCCACCACAGAGGAAGCCAGAGACAACUGUCACCAUGAGGCUGUGUGGAAUCUGGACCAGGUGACUCCCGCUGCUCCCCCAUUGCCCCCUGAAGAUCCGUCCCCUAGGACACCCCAAGACAACGGCUGGCUGACAGUGGCACCCCUCACCCUGCCCAGACUCCGAGCUCCCCUUCAUUUACCAAAAAUGGCCUCGGUUAUGUGGGAAGUCCCCACCAGGCCCCAGGCCAGGGAGGGGGCCACAGGAAGCUCCUGAGCGGGAAUUCUCCCCUCCAGCUGGCCCUGUGUGGCCCCCAGAUGUGUCCCAGAUCUAGAGGCCAGGGCACCUGGACUGGAGGAAGGGCGCCCUGGAGCUGGAAGGGGUGAUGACGCUGAAAUAAAUUGAAUCCUGGCCCUUCA
RNA transcript from Alexandromys fortis (reed vole), 1876 nucleotides. It is a transcript of the gene named Cbl proto-oncogene C, with no coding region annotated. The record is from RefSeq and is a predicted model, not a curated record. Lineage: Eukaryota; Metazoa; Chordata; Mammalia; Rodentia; Cricetidae. The transcript has 12 exons.